RNAcentral lists this long non-coding RNA (1256 nucleotides) under Vulpes vulpes (red fox). Its description in RNAcentral is "lncRNA (ENSVVUG00000000348.1)". The record is from RNAcentral. Lineage: Eukaryota; Metazoa; Chordata; Mammalia; Carnivora; Canidae.
CUGGACAAGCGCUCUAAAUCAAGCCAGUGGCAUGAGAUCACCCUGGCUCUAGCAUUUUGGAAGAAGAUGACCAUUUUGGAAGAAGCAGCCCAAUGAGAAAAUAGGAGACUUCUUCGAGUCUGGUGUUUGUGCGUCCAUGCAAAGACGCUACGUUGCUUUAGGACGCCAAACAGAGAAGUCACGCGGCAUGAGAAGGCUAAAAAUAAGCAGUUUUCUAAUUUCCCACGAAACCACCCUUGUUUAAGCCUAAGAUGUAAGAUGCAGUAUUCUCUCUUAGGGAACCAUUAAGGAUAAAGAAUCAACGUGAACUGAGUCUCAUAACGUGUUUUAUUUCAUUUAGUCCCUUGGCAUUUUGAGGUGGGUGUCAGGGUCCUCCCUUCACUGACAGGGAAACAACUCUAAGAGGAUCACCACGGCCAAGCUGCCACUCAAGCCAACACCUGCUCGACUUCAAGAGCCAGGCUUUUUUCUACUACCCGUCGUGUUUUGUUUUCUCCCCUCCCGUUUCGUUUGCAUUAGGUGUAGGGACUACAGCUACCCUGUCACCCACGGUCGCUGCGAAAUGUCGCUUACGGUCAGGCCCCCAGAACGGUCACGCGCCCUCCCCUCCUGAGGUGUCUCCGAAACUCGAGCUCCACCGACGAGAAGCGCAGGCCUGAGGCACCGACGCCAGCGCCAGCGCCAGCGCCAGCCCCAGCGUGGCCUCAGGAGCCCGGAAGGCGCCCCCGGGGCGCGUUUACAACACUGUCGUAAAGCGGCGGCUGCCGACAGCCGGCCUCGAGGCGCCGUCGAGGAGCUCGGCGGAGAAAGGAGAUGGAGGAAGGCUGAGGGCCGGGUGACGCCGAAUGGAGACGAGGCGCGGGGUGAAUGGUUGGAGAAGGGAGAGUGAAUGCGGAUUAUCAGGAGAACACAAAUGUGCUGAAGUUAAAGAAAAAUAGGUGCCAUUGUUUUUUUCUUUUAACACGUCAUUUGAAAAUAAAGAUCUUUAAGGAUCACUGGGAGCUGGGAUGUUCAAGUGAAAGUUACCCAUACUGACUUCCUGUCCUCCAGAUAGUAGUUGUUCCAAGAAUCUGCUCUAAGUCAGUCCUUUCAUAUGUCAAGCCUUCAAAAGAUAACCAUCCAUACUUUGGACAGCCUUGCAGAAGAUCUGAUUAUAACAUCUCUUUACUUCUUUACUUAUAGUAGAAAAGUAUUGUGUUUCUUCAAAGGGUUAAAAGAUGUAUAUAGCAAUAAAAAUAGACACUUAAUAUGAUACA